UACGGAGGAUCCGAGCGUUAUCCGGAUUUAUUGGGUUUAAAGGGUGCGCAGGCGGGGGAUUAAGUCGGCGGUGAAAUUUUGCAGCUCAACUGUAAAAGUGCCUUCGAAACUGGUUUCCUUGAGUGUGGAUGAAGUAGGCGGAAUUUGUGGUGUAGCGGUGAAAUGCAUAGAUAUCACGAGGAACUCCGAUUGCGCAGGCAGCUUACUAAACCAUAACUGACGCUCAGGCACGAAGGCGUGGGGAUCAAACAGGAUUAGAUACCCGUGUAGUCCCU
Molecule: ribosomal RNA, 275 nt
Filed under: uncultured prokaryote
Description: partial 16S ribosomal RNA
Rfam family: Bacterial small subunit ribosomal RNA
Source: RNAcentral